RNAcentral lists this ribosomal RNA (554 nucleotides) under uncultured organism. Its description in RNAcentral is "bacterial SSU rRNA". It matches the Rfam family "Bacterial small subunit ribosomal RNA", at positions 363 to 917 of the family's 1533-position model. The record is from RNAcentral.
AUUGGUCAAUGGACGAGAGUCUGAACCAGCCAAGUAGCGUGCAGGAUGACGGCCCUAUGGGUUGUAAACUGCUUUUAUAAGGGAAUAAAGUGAGAGUCGUGAGACUUUUUGCAUGUACCUUAUGAAUAAGGACCGGCUAAUUCCGUGCCAGCAGCCGCGGUAAUACGGAAGGUCCGGGCGUUAUCCGGAUUUAUUGGGUUUAAAGGGAGCGUAGGCCGGAGAUUAAGCGUGUUGUGAAAUGUAGACGCUCAACGUCUGCACUGCAGCGCGAACUGGUUUCCUUGAGUACGCACAAAGUGGGCGGAAUUCGUGGUGUAGCGGUGAAAUGCUUAGAUAUCACGAAGAACUCCGAUUGCGAAGGCAGCUCACUGGAGCGCAACUGACGCUGAAGCUCGAAAGUGCGGGUAUCGAACAGGAUUAGAUACCCUGGUAGUCCGCACGGUAAACGAUGGAUGCCCGCUGUUGGUUUGAAUAGGUCAGCGGCCAAGCGAAAGCAUUAAGCAUCCCACCUGGGGAGUACGCCGGCAACGGUGCAACUCAAAGGAAUUGACGGA